Molecule: transfer-messenger RNA, 368 nt
Filed under: Aerococcaceae bacterium
Lineage: Bacteria; Bacillati; Bacillota; Bacilli; Lactobacillales; Aerococcaceae
Rfam family: transfer-messenger RNA
About the family: Bacterial tmRNA, also known as 10Sa RNA or SsrA, is named for its dual tRNA and mRNA-like properties. Its role is to liberate the mRNA from a stalled ribosome.
Source: RNAcentral
GGGGAUGUCAUGGUUUCGACAGGUAUUGUUCGAACUUUUGAUGCGUCAGGAAGGUUGCGUCUUCCUCAUCAACGCUACAGUUAAAUAUAACUGCAAACAAUCAAAACAAUUCUUUCGCUUUAGCAGCUUAAUAACCUGCAAGUGAAGAUCGGUCUGGCAUCGCCCAUGUGCUCAGAUACCGGUCUCAAAUUCAGUGGGAUACGCUUCAACUUUCCGUCUGUAAGUUGAAUAAGAGAUCAUCAGGCUCGCAACGAUAGAUGCCUGUUUAUCGGCUAUAUCAGCGCUAAACUUAAAUUGAUAAACUAUUGGCGUAGACUCAAUUGUGGCGAGAUAUUUGGACAGGGGUUCGACUCCCCUCAUCUCCAUAA